This 338-nucleotide unclassified non-coding RNA is filed under the name soil metagenome. RNAcentral's name for it is "partial contains 5.8S ribosomal RNA, internal transcribed spacer 2, and large subunit ribosomal RNA". The stretch from base 1 to 120 matches the Rfam family "5.8S ribosomal RNA", at positions 35 to 154 of the family's 154-position model. The record is from RNAcentral.
GAUGAAGAACGCAGCGAAAUGCGAUACGUAGUGUGAAUUGCAGAAUUCAGUGAAUCAUCGGAUCUUUGAACGCACAUUGCGCCCUUUGGUAUUCCAAAGGGCAUACCUGUUCGAGCGUCAUUUGUACCCUCAAGCUUUGCUUGGUGUUGGGCGUCUUGUCUCCAGUCCGCUGGAGACUCGCCUUAAAGUCAUUGGCAGCCGGCCUACUGGUUUCGGAGCGCAGCACAAGUCGCACUCUUUUCCAGCCAAGGUCAGUGUCCAACAAGCCUUUUUUCAACUUUUGACCUCGGAUCAGGUAGGGAUACCCGCUGAACUUAAGCAUAUCAAUAAGCGGAGGA